CGGGCGGUAGCUCAGCCUGGCAGAGCUUCCGGCUGUAGACCGGAGUGUCGCAGGUCCAAAUCCUGCCCGCCCGA
This 74-nucleotide transfer RNA is filed under the name Candidatus Bathyarchaeota archaeon. Its description in RNAcentral is "tRNA-Tyr". It matches the Rfam family "tRNA". Rfam says of the family: Transfer RNA (tRNA) molecules are approximately 80 nucleotides in length. Their secondary structure includes four short double-helical elements and three loops (D, anti-codon, and T loops). Lineage: Archaea; Thermoproteati; Candidatus Bathyarchaeota. The record is from RNAcentral.